This 404-nucleotide ribosomal RNA is filed under the name Eubacterium maltosivorans. Its description in RNAcentral is "bacterial LSU rRNA". It matches the Rfam family "Bacterial large subunit ribosomal RNA", at positions 1 to 443 of the family's 2925-position model. Lineage: Bacteria; Bacillati; Bacillota; Clostridia; Eubacteriales; Eubacteriaceae. The record is from RNAcentral.
AGAUCAAGAAACAAAGAGCACAGGGCGAAUGCCUUGGCACUGGGAGCCGAAGAAGGACGCGACAAGCUGCGAAAAGCCACGUUUAGGAGCACAUAUCCGACGAGACGUGGAUGUCCGAAUGGGGAAACCCGGCGGUUAGAAGAACCGUCACCGUUAAGUGAAUCCAUAGCAUAACGGAGGGAACCCGGGGAACUGAAACAUCUUAGUACCCGGAGGAAAAGAAAGAAACAUCGAUUCCUUAAGUAGCGGCGAGCGAACGAGGAAAAGCCCAGAAUCCAACAAUCAUUUCCGUUUAGCAGAAGGGCAUGGGAAGGCCCCGCAAAGAGCGUAAGACGCGCGUAAGCGAAAAGCCGAAAUGAGGAGAUUCAACGAGUACCACGGGACACGUGAAACCCUGUGGGAAG